RNAcentral lists this long non-coding RNA (218 nucleotides) under Citrus maxima (pomelo). Its description in RNAcentral is "long non-coding RNA (CMAX_LNC004382)". The record is from RNAcentral. Lineage: Eukaryota; Viridiplantae; Streptophyta; Magnoliopsida; Sapindales; Rutaceae.
GUCGUUCCCAUUGCUUCUCGAUUAAUGGUUAGGUCUGAAUUCUCCAACGGAGCCUUAAUGAAAUUUUUUUCUUAAGUCAAUUUUCUCAGUUUUUAUUGGCUCGGGGCUCUUGAUUUUUUUUGUUCUAUGAGCGGAUUCAUCUAGUUAGGGAUGAAUCAUUAUUGAUGCUAUAUUACACUGUUUUUUAUGAGAUGACUUACAGACCUUACAUAUUGGAA